AGUGAACGCUGGCGGCAGGCCUAAUACAUGCAAGUCGAACGGCAGCACAGCAGAGCUUGCUCUGUGGGUGGCGAGUGGCGGACGGGUGAGGAAUACAUGGGAAUCUGCCCAGUCGUGGGGGAUAACGUAGGGAAACUUACGCUAAUACCGCAUGCGCCCUUCGGGGAAAGGCCGGGGACCGUUCGGGCCGUGGCGGCGAU
RNAcentral lists this ribosomal RNA (200 nucleotides) under uncultured bacterium. Its description in RNAcentral is "partial 16S ribosomal RNA". It matches the Rfam family "Bacterial small subunit ribosomal RNA", at positions 29 to 229 of the family's 1533-position model. The record is from RNAcentral.